UACAGAGGGCCCAAGCGUUGUUCGGAUUCACUGGGCGUAAAGGGUGCGUAGGCGGCCGGGUAAGUCUGAUGUGAAAUCCCGCAGCUCAACUGCGGAACUGCAUCGGAUACUCUCCGGCUAGAGGAAUGGAGGGGAGACUGGAAUUCUCGGUGUAGCAGUGAAAUGCGUAGAUAUCGAGAGGAACACCAGUGGCGAAGGCGAGUCUCUGGACAUUUCCUAACGCUGAGGCACGAAAGCCAGGGGAGCAAACGGG
This 253-nucleotide ribosomal RNA is filed under the name uncultured bacterium. RNAcentral describes it as "partial 16S ribosomal RNA". It matches the Rfam family "Bacterial small subunit ribosomal RNA", at positions 524 to 776 of the family's 1533-position model. The record is from RNAcentral.